Molecule: ribosomal RNA, 625 nt
Filed under: Cercospora sp. CMT63
Lineage: Eukaryota; Fungi; Ascomycota; Dothideomycetes; Mycosphaerellales; Mycosphaerellaceae
Description: LSU rRNA
Rfam family: Eukaryotic large subunit ribosomal RNA
Source: RNAcentral
AGCAUAUCAAUAAGCGGAGGAAAAGAAACCAACAGGGAUUGCCCUAGUAACGGCGAGUGAAGCGGCAACAGCUCAAAUUUGAAAUCUGGCGCAAGCCCGAGUUGUAAUUUGUAGAGGAUGCUUCUGGGUAGCGACCGAUCUAAGUUCCUUGGAACAGGACGUCAUAGAGGGUGAGAAUCCCGUAUGUGACCGGCCCGCACCCUUUACGUAGCUCCUUCGACGAGUCGAGUUGUUUGGGAAUGCAGCUCUAAAUGGGAGGUAAAUUUCUUCUAAAGCUAAAUACCGGCCAGAGACCGAUAGCGCACAAGUAGAGUGAUCGAAAGAUGAAAAGUACUUUGGAAAGAGAGUUAAAAAGCACGUGAAAUUGUUGAAAGGGAAGCGCCUGCAACCAGACUUCGCGGCAGUGUUCCGCCGGUCUUCUGACCGGUUCAUUCUCUGUCGCGAGGCCAUCAUCGUCUGGGCCCGCCGGAUAAGACCUGAGGAAUGUGGCUCCCCCUCGGGGGAGUGUUAUAGCCUCUGGUGAUGCGGCGUGGCUCGGGCGAGGUCCGCGCUUCGGCAAGGAUGAUGGCGUAAUGGUUGUCGGCGGCCCGUCUUGAAACACGGACCAAGGAGUCUAACAUCUAUG